RNAcentral lists this transfer RNA (63 nucleotides) under Semibalanus balanoides (northern acorn barnacle). RNAcentral's name for it is "tRNA-His". The record is from RNAcentral. Lineage: Eukaryota; Metazoa; Arthropoda; Thecostraca; Balanomorpha; Balanidae.
GUUUAAAUAGUUUAAGAAAAAUUUAAGUUUGUGGUACUUAAGAUGUAAAAUUUACUUUAGACU